This is a long non-coding RNA of Homo sapiens (human), 3714 nucleotides long. RefSeq lists it as uncharacterized. NCBI's taxonomy places the organism in Eukaryota, Metazoa, Chordata, Mammalia, Primates, Hominidae. The record is from RefSeq and is a predicted model, not a curated record. The transcript is spliced from 4 exons.
ACUCCUGCCUCAGGCCUCAGCCACCACAGUAAGUGGAACUCUAUACCUCCACCUCGCCUGGCUGGGUGGAGCCUCUAAACUCAGGAUUCUGCCUUGAGCUGUGGCUCUCCCCUCAGGUUGACAGGGUCCAGAGCAAAACCUACGGAAGAAGCUGCAGAGGCCAGGUGGAGGGAAGGAUGCUGAACUGGAGGAGGCCAGGAAAUUAUGAGGUGAUUCUAAGCACAUUAAAAUCUGGAUGACACUUAUCUGAAUCAUUUCGCAACUUGGAGAGAGAUGGAGAAGACACGCAUGGUGUAACUGGGCAUCACCAGAAUGUGCACUGCCAUCUGUGGCUGUCUUCCUGCUGGCAAAUCCUUUUCAUUCCAAGCAAAUAAGAUUCCCUAAAUUAGACAAAAAGGAAGAAACACAACAGAGUCCAUAAUUCUGAGAGGAAGAGAAGAGUGAUCAUCAGCAGCAAAAGGCAAUUGCAGAGAAGCACCACCAAGAGCCAGCUUCAUGCUCAGGAGUGAAUGCUGAGCCGCCUCCUCGUGGUUUCCGGUGCUCCACAUGUUCAGAGAAACUUCUCUGGUAAGAAACUAUAGAAAUGGUGCAUGGAAGUGUUACUAGAAAGGGUUCCUGAUCCAAACCCCAAGAGAGGGUUCUUGGAUCUCACGCAAGAUCCAAGAAUUUAGGGUGCAUCCAUAGAGUAAAGUGAAAGCAAGUUUAUUAGUGUAUUAGUUUGUUUUCAUGCUGCUAAUAAACACAUACCUGAGACUGGGUAAUUUAUACAGGAAAGAGGUUUAAUGGACUCCCAGUUCCACACGGCUGGCGAGGCCUCACAAUCAUGGUGGAAGGCAAGGAGGAGCAAGUCAUGUCUUACAUGGAUGGCAGCAGGCAAAGAGAGAGCUUGUGCAGGGAAACUCCCCUUUAUAAAACCAUCAGAUCUUGUGAGACUUAUUCACUGUCACGACAACAGCAUGGAAAGACCUGCCCCCAUGAUUCAAUUACCUCCCACCAGGUCCCUCCCACAACACAUGGGAAUUCAAGAUGAGAUUUGGGUGGGGACAUAGUCAAACUGUAUCAAUUGGGAAAGUAAAGGAAUAAAAGAAUAGGAGGAGCCAAGAUGGCUGAAUAGGAACAGCUCCAGUCUACAGCUCCCAGCAUGAGCGACGCAGAAGAUGGGUGAUUUCUGCAUUUCCAUCUGAGCUUUGAAAAGAGCAGUGGUUCUCCCAGCACGCAGCUGGAGAUCUGAGAAUGGGCAGACUGCCUCCUCAAGUGGGUCUCUGACCCCUGACCCCUGAGCAGCCUAACUGGGAGGCACCCCCCAGUAGGGGCAGACUGACACUUCACAUGGCCGGGUACUCCUCUGAGACAAAACUUCCAGAGGAACGAUCAGAUGGCAGCAUUCGCAGUUCACGAAAAACCGCUGUUCUGCAAACACCGCUGCAGAUACCCAGGCAAACAGGGUCUGGAGUGGACCUCUAGCAAACUCCAACAGACCUGCAGCUGAGGGUCCUGUCUGUUAGAAGGAAAACUAACAAACAGAAAGGACAACCACACCAAAAACCCAUCUGUACAUCACCAUCAUCAAAGACCAAAAGUAGAUAAAACCACAAAGAUAGGGAAAAAACAGAGCAGAAAAACUGGAAACUCUAAAAAGCAGAGCACCUCUCCUCCUCCACUAUUCACAAUUGCAAAGACUUGGAACCAACCCAAAUGUCCAACAAUGAUAGACUGGAUUAAGAAAAUGUGGCACAUAUACACCAUGGACUACUGUGCAGCCAUAAAAAAUGAUGAGUUCAUGUCCUUUCUAGGGACAUGGAUGAAAUUGGAAAUCAUCAUUCUCAGUAAACUAUCGCAAGGACAAAAAACCAAACACCGCAUGUUCUCACUCAUAGGUGGGAAUUGAACAAUGAGAACACAUGGACACAGGAAGGGGAACAUCACACUCUGGGGACUAUUGUGGGGUGGGGGGAGGGGGGAGGGAUAGCACUGGGAGAUAUACCUAAUGCUAGAUGAUGAGUUAGUGGGUGCAGCGUACCAGCAUGGCACAUGUAUACAUAUGUAACUAACCUGCACAAUGUGCACAUGUACCCUAAAACUUAAAGUAUAAUAAUAAAACAAAAAGGAAUAAAAGAAUAGCUACACCACAGACAGAGCAGCCCCAAGGGCUGCUGGUUGCCCAUUUUUAUGGUUAUUUCUUGAUUAUAUGCUAAACAAGGGGUGGAUCAUUCAUGCCUCCCCUUUUUUUAGGCCCUAUAGGGUAACUUCCUGACAUUGCUAUGGCAUUUAUAAGCUGUCAUGGUGCUGAUGGGAGUGUAGCAGUGAGGAUGACCAGAAGUCAAUCUCAUUGCCAUCUUGGUUUUGAUGGUUUUAGCUGGCUUCUUUACUGCAACCAGUUUUCAGUAGGUCUCAGCUUUAUUUUACCCAGCCCCUAUUCGAGAUGGAGUUGCUCUGGUUCAGACACCUCUGACAGAAGUAUAGUCUUGACAUCAGGGUUUUAAAAAGCUCCCCAGGUAGUUUUGGGUUUUAAAAAGCUCCCCAGGUAGUUUUAAAGUGCUUCCCAGAUUGAGAAGCACUAUACAAGAUUAGAGCUUUUAAAUUGCAGUGGUAAGUCACCUGGGAACCAUGCUAAAAAACACGAAUGCUGAUUUAGUCAGUAUGGGGAGGGGCCUGAGAUUCUGCAUUUCUAAAAAAGCUUCCAGGAGACCCAUUGCUGCUUGUUGAGGAAUAAACUUCCAAGGCACCAGAUGAGAUAAUCUACUUCCAAAUGUCCUCUAGUCAAGCCAGGACUCACGAGCUCUCAUGUUAUUUUCUUUCCAUCCUAACCCUACACAGACUCAAGUACCUCACGUUAUUUACAGGUAGAAAGGCAUUUUUGUGUAUAUACUGUUUUGUUUUUAAAUAUCUGAUAGCAAGGAAUCUUAUUCUAGUCAAACAUGAAAUAUUACCAGAAAAGUGCAAAACCGUAAAGUCCAAAUUCAGAAUGAUGACCUUAGGCUCACGAAACCAGAGUGCAAUUGCUGAUGUGAGGGAUGCACUUAGAACCCGAGUUGGUAUGGAACUCAUUUUAAACUGAAGCCACUGGGGAUUCAAUAGGUGCAGAAAGAAGCCUUCUUGGUGCUUCCUUUAUCUGACAAAAAGCAGAGACUUCUGGAAAAAUGAGGCUGCCAUACCUCCCUCUUACGGGUGGCUUUUACUCCCAGGAAGAUGAUCAAGAAACCUACCGUAAGUCCUCUCUCCAGGGAAGUUUUAUGGCCAUGAAUGAGAUACAGAGAUCACUCAGGCCUGCAUGAACAAGCACUAUCACAAACUCUUUAUCUCUCAUUUGUUCUUCUAGAAAUCCAUCUGUUCCUCCUAUAGAGGCCUUUUCCCCCACUGCCUCUUUUCCCUACUAAGCUGGGCAUAUAAGUUUCUAGCUUUAACUACUUACUGAGUUUCUUCUUUUUCAAGCUCCUAUAUGCAUAUAAAUAAGGUCCCCCUGCCCACCUGUUAAUCUGUCUUUUAUCAGCUUAAUUUGCAGGCCCCCAGGUACUGAACUUAAGAGGACAGAGGAAAAGUUUUUCCUCCCUGACACUGAGCAACCAGAGGCUGCUGUUAAGUAACCUUCCCUCAUUUCUACGUCUGUCCUCUGCCCCUUCCAGCCCCUCAACCCACAUUGUCUCUCAUGUUCCUAUUCACCUAAAAGAGGAAAAUCAUAUUAUUUCAAUAAACCUCUGCCUUAUAGUUUGUAAA